AACGUAGGAGGCGAGCGUUAUCCGGAGUUACUGGGCGUAAAGCGUAUGUAGGUGGCAAGACACGUCUGAUGUGAAAGCUCCCGGCUAAACUGGGAGAGUGCGUCGGAUACGGUCUGGCUAGAGGGUGGUAGAGGAGCGUAGAAUUCCGGGUGUAGUGGUGAAAUGCGUAGAGAUCCGGAGGAAUACCAGUGGCGCAAGCGGCGCUCUGGGCCAUACCUGACACUGAGAUACGAAGGCAUGGGUAGCGAACGGG
This 253-nucleotide ribosomal RNA is filed under the name uncultured bacterium. Its description in RNAcentral is "partial 16S ribosomal RNA". It matches the Rfam family "Bacterial small subunit ribosomal RNA", at positions 524 to 776 of the family's 1533-position model. The record is from RNAcentral.